GGGCAAGAUAGGUGAAGUUAGCUAACCAGCAAGCUGGUCAUCAACCUUCACAAGCCUUAUUCGCACCUUCGGUGCUCAACGGGGAUCCAGUGAUUUGAGGUC
Molecule: regulatory RNA element, 102 nt
Organism: Legionella geestiana
Lineage: Bacteria; Pseudomonadati; Pseudomonadota; Gammaproteobacteria; Legionellales; Legionellaceae
Rfam family: traJ-II RNA
Source: Rfam